Electrophorus electricus (electric eel) is the source of this 1116-nucleotide long non-coding RNA. RefSeq lists it as uncharacterized. The record is from RefSeq and is a predicted model, not a curated record. Lineage: Eukaryota; Metazoa; Chordata; Actinopteri; Gymnotiformes; Gymnotidae.
UGAGAAGGAAAAUUCUACAGUAUAAAAUAUAAAACCCACAAGCAAACGACAUUCAAAUACUUUUGACUCAAGCAAAGCAAACUACAAGUUGUCAAAUCGAGUAUGAUAGCACUACUAACAACUGGAAGGACCACGACCUACUGCACCACGUGCAAACUUCAGCAGUUACGUUAAUUCAUUUAACACCAACAUUAGUGGAGCGCAUCCAUGAUUUUCGGGUGUCACCUUAAAUAACUGCGAAUGCGUUUUCCCAAAACGACACAAACCGACUUCCAAGGAACCUUCGCUUUCGAAAUGAACUUCCUUUCCUGUAAAUCCUCUAAGUUUCUCUUUGACCGUGAUAAUUGGUUAGAAACACCGGGAAUUCCCCAAAGAGCCUAUAAAUACAACCUGCGCCCACUUUUUCUAACAGAAUGAGUUCCCUUCCUGGCGUCGCUCAGCAGACCACACCAAAUCAGAGAGGGGGCGUGCACCAACAAUGUAGCUUCAGGUUGUGCAUUGCCUACUGCGCAUGCGCUGGCUCCAAUGGCAGCUCCCAUAUCGGCCUUCAAAAAUUCAAAGUGGGAGUUAACAGUGAUGUACCCUCCAUUGUAUAUAGUCUAUGUGCUAAACCAACACAUAGAACUUGAAAGGUCCUAUUAAUCAUUUAUGAGCUUGGGCAAGGUACAGGGGCACGACGCUGAGUCAGCCAUCAUGGCGAAGGUCUGCAGCCGGCUGUGCAUCUGGAUCAUUAGGACCACUCCGCUCCAUCCGCAGAGCAGUGGCCUCGUGGAAUGUUUCAAUGAUGCCACCAACCACCACUGUGCUGCUCCACCAUGCAGGUGUCAGGUGGGACCAAGGACUCCCAGAAUCUGUGAGCCUCUCUGCAACUCUGUUUAAUGUAGUUUAAAGAUUAAUCUUUAAAUAGUUGAUUUGUGUUUGUUUGGUUCUGUUUGACUUUGUCUCUCUUUUUGUUAAGAAUUAGUGUGUUAGAAUUGUCACUAUCGUCAUGCAGUGUUUAGUUGUUAAUACGCGCCCCCCCCACCCCCAACCAUUAAUAAGCCCUCAUCCACAUUUGGUUCCGGUUCCCGUUUUUGUUUUGUUGUCUAUGUGUGAAACACUUGAAACACUUGAAUA